UGGGGAAUUUUGCACAAUGGGCGCAAGCCUGAUGCAGCGACGCCGCGUGAGGGAUGAAGGCCUUCGGGUUGUAAACCUUUUUCGCUCAUGGUCAAGCCGCAGCUUUGGGUUGUGGUGAGGGUAGUGGGUAAAGAAGCGCCGGCUAACUACGUGCCAGCAGCCGCGGUAAUACGUAGGUCCCGAGCGUUGUCCGGAUUUAUUGGGCGUAAAGCGAGCGCAGGCGGUUAGAAAAGUCUGAAGUGAAAGGCAGUGGCUCAACCAUUGUAGGCUUUGGAAACUGUUUAACUUGAGUGCAGAAGGGGAGAGUGGAAUUCCAUGUGUAGCGGUGAAAUGCGUAGAUAUAUGGAGGAACACCGGUGGCGAAAGCGGCUCUCUGGUCUGUAACUGACGCUGAGGAGCGAAAGCGUGGGGAGCGAACAGG
This 421-nucleotide ribosomal RNA is filed under the name Verrucomicrobiota bacterium. RNAcentral's name for it is "Verrucomicrobia bacterium partial 16S ribosomal RNA". It matches the Rfam family "Bacterial small subunit ribosomal RNA", at positions 355 to 776 of the family's 1533-position model. Lineage: Bacteria; Pseudomonadati; Verrucomicrobiota. The record is from RNAcentral.